GAUGAAGAACGUAGCGAAAUGCGAUAAGUAGUGUGAAUUGCAGAAUUCAGUGAAUCAUCGAAUCUUUGAACGCAUCUUGCGCUCCUUGGUAUUCUGAGGAGCAUGCCUGUUUGAGUGUCAUUAAAUUCUCAACUACACUGACUUUGAAUUGGUGUGGCUUGGAUUUGGGGGGAAAAUUGUUGUGGGCUUUUUGUAUAGUCUGCUCCCCUGAAAUUGAUUAGCGGUACCUUUGUGGAACUGUCUACAGGUGUGAUAAUUAUCUACAUCUUAGACAUCUGCUGGAAUGCUGCUUUCUAAACCUUACUUGUAUUGACAAUCUUGACCUCAAAUCAGGUAGGACUACCCGCUGAACUUAAGCAUAUCAAUAAGCGGAGGA
RNAcentral lists this unclassified non-coding RNA (376 nucleotides) under soil metagenome. RNAcentral describes it as "partial contains 5.8S ribosomal RNA, internal transcribed spacer 2, and large subunit ribosomal RNA". The stretch from base 1 to 120 matches the Rfam family "5.8S ribosomal RNA", at positions 35 to 154 of the family's 154-position model. The record is from RNAcentral.